Sphaeramia orbicularis (orbiculate cardinalfish) is the source of this 139-nucleotide long non-coding RNA. RefSeq lists it as uncharacterized. The record is from RefSeq and is a predicted model, not a curated record. The transcript is spliced from 2 exons. NCBI's taxonomy places the organism in Eukaryota, Metazoa, Chordata, Actinopteri, Kurtiformes, Apogonidae.
GAAUUGUGAUGUUUGUCGCAUUUCAAUGACGUAAAGGUCGGAUAAAUGUGAUCUGGACGUUCACACUGAAGUCACAUUAAAAAAUAUCAGAUCUGUAUCAGACUUAGGACCACAUAUGAAAGUGGUCUGGGUCAGAUUU